GCCGCUGUGGCCUAGUGGUAAGGCGUGUGACUUCUAAUCUCAAGAUCGCGGGUUCGAAUCCCGCCAGUGGUU
Transfer RNA from Aspergillus nidulans FGSC A4, 72 nucleotides. It matches the Rfam family "tRNA". From Rfam's summary of the family: Transfer RNA (tRNA) molecules are approximately 80 nucleotides in length. Lineage: Eukaryota; Fungi; Ascomycota; Eurotiomycetes; Eurotiales; Aspergillaceae. The record is from Rfam.